UCGCUCAAAAUGGGUUAAAUAAACAUUAAAUUAUGUAGUUUAGGGAUUGUUAGGGAUCGAUAGGGGGGUGCAUUCUGAACAUAAAUUUCAAUUUGCGGGGUUCUCCGAAGGUCAGCUGGGCUCGGUUAACGGACCAAAAUGUGUCUAUGAGAGUAAAGGAUAUGUUGUAAAGAGAAGUAUAACAACUGACAUAAGAUAAGACAAUUAAUGCAAUUGGAAGAGUAAGAGUGGUAUUAUCACGCAGCGUGAGUAGGUCGGUAUUGGAAGAAUCUAUGAAGUAAAGAAAUAGUAUUAGUUCGUUGUUGGUUGAGGAGGUUCGUCUAGGGAUGUAGACACAAGUUGGUUAUUUUCCAAUGUGAGUAGACAAUAUCCAGGCUGUAAGGAAACAGUACACAUAAUGCGUUUUAUGAAUGUAAUCGAACGAGUCGACUAGAGAAAAGAGCGCGAACUAGGCGCUGCGGACAAGAUUGCACGAACGAGGUGCCUCGAAUGAGUGCACGAACUAGGUGCUUGAAAGGAUCUCAGGAAGGUUGCACGAACUAGGCGCCUUGGAUGAGUGCACUAACUAGGUGCUUGAAAGGAUCUCAGGAAG
This is a long non-coding RNA of Neodiprion fabricii, 592 nucleotides long. RefSeq lists it as uncharacterized. The transcript is spliced from 3 exons. NCBI's taxonomy places the organism in Eukaryota, Metazoa, Arthropoda, Insecta, Hymenoptera, Diprionidae. The record is from RefSeq and is a predicted model, not a curated record.